CACCUAGGCGACGAUCCCUAGCGGGUCUGAGAGGAUGACCAGACACACUGAAACUGGGGCACGGUCCAGACUCCUACGGGAGGCAGCAGUGGGGAAUAUUGCACAAUGGGCGCAAGCCUGAUGCAGCCAUGCCGCGUGUAUGAAGAAGGCCUUCGGGUUGUAAAGUACUUUCAGCGGGGAGGAAGGGAGUAAAGUUAAUACCUUUGCUCAUUGACGUUACCCGCAGAAGAAGCACCGGCUAACUCCGUGCCAGCAGCCGCGGUAAUACGGAGGGUGCAAGCGUUAAUCGGAAUUACUGGGCGUAAAGCGCGCGUAGGUGGUUUGUUAAGUUGAAUGUGAAAUCCCCGGGCUCAACCUGGGAACUGCAUCCAAAACUGGCAAGCUAGAGUAUGGUAGAGGGUAGUGGAAUUUCCUGUGUAGCGGUGAAAUGCGUAGAUAUAGGAAGGAACACCAGUGGCGAAGGCGACUACCUGGACUGAUACUGACACUGAGGUGCGAAAGCGUGGGGAGCAACCAGGAUUAGAUACCCUGGUAGUCCACGCCGUAAACGAUGUCGACUUGGAGGUUGUGCCCUUGAGGCGUGGCUUCCGGAGCUAACGCGUUAAGUCGACCGCCUGGGGAGUACGGCCGCAAGGUUA
This 638-nucleotide ribosomal RNA is filed under the name Escherichia coli. RNAcentral's name for it is "bacterial SSU rRNA". It matches the Rfam family "Bacterial small subunit ribosomal RNA", at positions 266 to 896 of the family's 1533-position model. The record is from RNAcentral. Lineage: Bacteria; Pseudomonadati; Pseudomonadota; Gammaproteobacteria; Enterobacterales; Enterobacteriaceae.